This is a transfer RNA of 76 nucleotides. It matches the Rfam family "tRNA". Rfam says of the family: Transfer RNA (tRNA) molecules are approximately 80 nucleotides in length. Their secondary structure includes four short double-helical elements and three loops (D, anti-codon, and T loops).
GGCCCGUUCGUCUAUCGGUUUAGGAUAUCAGGUUCUCAUCCUGGAGAGAGGGGUUCGACUCCCCUACGGGCUACCA